Molecule: long non-coding RNA, 405 nt
Filed under: Androctonus crassicauda
Lineage: Eukaryota; Metazoa; Arthropoda; Arachnida; Scorpiones; Buthidae
Source: RNAcentral
GGGAUAAAUGAGCCAUAUCUCUUCAAACAAAGUGAAUAUUUAUGGUAGCUUGGUUGCUGUAUCUUUUUUCUUAAUAAAUGACACUAUUUUUCAGUCUGUUGAUUCAACUGAGUGGGAAAAAUUGAGGUCCUACUGUAGGCUGCUUACAUCAAAGGAUGGCAAAUUGAUCAGAGCAAUCAACCUACAAGCUCAGACCAUGAAAUACUUUCCAAGGGAAGGGACCCAAAUUUUUGGGCCCAGAUCCUCUGGAUGAAAACUGAUAUUGUUUCCAAAUAGUCAGUCCUACUGGCAGCAUGAUAAAAUUGAGUUAAAUUAAAAUAUUCACUGAAUUUCAGACUGUCAUAUUGGAUUAUCAUUUCAUUUCAAAAAGCUUUCAAAUUUGAACAGUCACCACUUUUAUGACCU